GGUUAAGCGACUAAGCGUACACGGUGGAUGCCCUGGCAGUCAGAGGCGAUGAAGGACGUGCUAAUCUGCGAAAAGCGUCGGUAAGGUGAUAUGAACCGUUAUAACCGGCGAUGUCCGAAUGGGGAAACCCAGUGCAAUUCGUUGCACUAUCGUUAACUGAAUACAUAGGUUAACGAGGCGAACCGGGGGAACUGAAACAUCUAAGUACCCCGAGGAAAAGAAAUCAACCGAGAUUCCCCCAGUAGCGGCGAGCGAACGGGGAGCAGCCCAGAGUCUGAAUCAGCUUGUGUGUUAGUGGAACGGUCUGGAAAGUCCGACGGUACAGGGUGAUAGUCCCGUACACCAAAAUGCACAGGCUGUGAACUCGAAGAGUAGGGCGGGACACGUGGUAUCCUGUCUGAAUAUGGGGGGACCAUCCUCCAAGGCUAAAUACUCCUGACUGACCGAUAGUGAACCAGUACCGUGAGGGAAAGGCGAAAAGAACCCCGGCGAGGGGAGUGAAAAAGAACCUGAAACCGUGUACGUACAAGCAGUGGGAGCACCUUCGGGUGUGACUGCGUACCUUUUGUAUAAUGGGUCAGCGACUUAUAUUCUGUAGCAAGGUUAACCGUAUAGGGGAGCCGCAGGGAAACCGAGUCUUAACUGGGCGUUAAGUUGCAGGGUAUAGACCCGAAACCCGGUGAUCUAGCCAUGGGCAGGUUGAAGGUUGGGUAACACUAACUGGAGGACCGAACCGACUAAUGUUGAAAAAUUAGCGGAUGACUUGUGGCUGGGGGUGAAAGGCCAAUCAAACCGGGAGAUAGCUGGUUCUCCCCGAAAGCUAUUUAGGUAGCGCCUCGUGAACUCAUCUUCGGGGGUAGAGCACUGUUUCGGCUAGGGGGUCAUCCCGACUUACCAACCCGAUGCAAACUACGAAUACCGAAGAAUGUUAUCACGGGAGACACACGGCGGGUGCUAACGUCCGUCGUGAAGAGGGAAACAACCCAGACCGCCAGCUAAGGUCCCAAAGUCAUGGUUAAGUGGGAAACGAUGUGGGAAGGCACAGACAGCCAGGAUGUUGGCUUAGAAGCAGCCAUCAUUUAAAGAAAGCGUAAUAGCUCACUGGUCGAGUCGGCCUGCGCGGAAGAUGUAACGGGGCUAAACCAUGCACCGAAGCUGCGGCAGCGACACUAUGUGUUGUUGGGUAGGGGAGCGUUCUGUAAGCCUGCGAAGGUGUGCUGUGAGGCAUGCUGGAGGUAUCAGAAGUGCGAAUGCUGACAUAAGUAACG
This 1268-nucleotide ribosomal RNA is filed under the name Klebsiella pneumoniae. RNAcentral's name for it is "partial 23S ribosomal RNA". It matches the Rfam family "Bacterial large subunit ribosomal RNA", at positions 1 to 1311 of the family's 2925-position model. The record is from RNAcentral. Lineage: Bacteria; Pseudomonadati; Pseudomonadota; Gammaproteobacteria; Enterobacterales; Enterobacteriaceae.